GCAGAUCACAAGCGUACCCACGCGCGCAAACGUGACGCCUCCCGAUUCCCCAACAAACUGUCCACCCUCUCCGUCCCGCGCUCUGCCAGGCACAGGCAGGUCGGCAACGUCGCACGCGGCGUCACGCCCCUCGCCCGAAUGCCCAGCCGACACGCAGACAGAGGACACGGAGUCCCAACGCACCGCGGCGCCGCCAGCCACGGCGCUCGCUUCCCGUCGGCACCUUCCGGGCCUCGGACUUGUCGUCCUUAUCUCAAAUUCUCUGUCGCUUUUUUUUAUAGUUGAAAUUCUGUCUCGCUUUUAAUCCCUUCUUUUCUUUUCUUUGCUGUGCGACGGACGAUGAUGUGUAUGGCAUGCACGGCCCCUCUGACGGCGACGUGUGUGUGUACGCAAUCUCAUUCUGAAACCGGCUGCGGCUUUCGAUUCGCGUCGGACAACACAAGAGCAUCAGCAUCACGCGCCCAUCGCUUGCUCGCCUUUCCCCUCCCUCUCCCCCCUCGGCUUCCCCUCGGCUCCAGCAAAACUCCUCCAGUCCAGACUACCCCCGGUUGGAAUUAGGCCCCACUGAGCGCCAACAGCCAUGAGUUGCGGGAGAUCUGAAAACACUACCAGAAAAUGCAGGACGCGUUCAACACCUGGUGAAACGAUAUAUCUACAUACUGCAGAUGCUAAAAAGAUCACCCACUACCAAGCUAAUCUACCAACAACAAUGGAUCGCGAUAUCGGCGCCUACCCUGUGAAGCACCACUUUCCGUCUCCUAUAGUUUCUUGGAUAGAAGACCUUUCUAGCUUUGGCGAUGUUCCUUUUAGUCAUGAUACUGAAUACGUGGAUGAUCAAUCAACACCUUCAUUUGGGCAGUCUUCUGCAUCUAGCAAUUUGCAUGACAUGCAAAUAUCAGUGAGAUUGACAGACGAAUUCAUGGAACUUGCAAAGGAGAAUACAAGCAAUAAUCUAGAGACCUGUGGAAUUCUUGGUGCUUCAUUUAGGGAUGGAACUUAUUAUGUGACAACAUUGAUCAUUCCAAAGCAAGAAGGAACUGCUCACUCAUGUCAAGCUUCUAACGAGGAGGAGAUACACGCCGUAUUAUCAGAGCAGUCACUUUACCCUGCAGGGUGGAUACAUACUCACCCUUCACAAACAUGCUUUCUAUCGUCGAUCGAUUUGCACACUCAGUUCUCUUAUCAGGUCAUGCUACCAGAAGCUGUUGCGAUUGUUGCUGCUCCCACCGAUCCUACUAGGCAUGUGUUUUCUUGCUUAAAAUGAAGUUAACAUACAGUGCGAGUCAUUCAUUUUAUGCCACCUGGCUAACAAUAUCGUAUAAUGAAGUCUGAAAGUCUUUCUGCUGUUUGCAAACCUUCCAGGAGCUAUGGUAUAUUCAGGUUGACAGAUCCAGGAGGCAUGGAUGUGCUCAGGGAGUGCAGUGAGAGUGGGUUCCAUACUCACCGAGAGACAACAGAUGGCAGUCCAAUAUAUGAAACCUGCUCCAACGUGCAUUUCAAACCUAAUUUGCGGUUUGAGAUUGUCGAUCUGCGUUCUGGUGCGUGACCAAUCAGGCACACCCUCAGGAUAGACCAGCCAACGUGCAUAUGUAAGUAUGUGACACAUGUGCCAUAGAUGAUGAUAGAUCUUACUGGUGACUGUUAGUCAGCUUGAUGGGCGUGUUAAAAAAUGGUGUUACCAACCUAUGAUGUCAACUAGCUCUGAACUGUUUUGUUGUAACCAGUAAUCGUGUACGUGCACUGAAUGUCCAGUUUGACAGUAAU
RNAcentral lists this ribosomal RNA (1764 nucleotides) under Triticum aestivum (bread wheat). RNAcentral's name for it is "partial small subunit ribosomal RNA". Lineage: Eukaryota; Viridiplantae; Streptophyta; Magnoliopsida; Poales; Poaceae. The record is from RNAcentral.